AACUGUUGAGUGUAUAUUUUGCUAGGUAACUACUCUUAAAUGCGGUGGAGUUUGUCUUGGAAUAGCAACUCAUCAUACUUUGACUGAUGGCACAACGGCCUUACAUUUCAUUAAUAGUUGGUCUGAAAUGGCAAGAGGCUUGCCCGAGAUUAGCAUGCCACCACUUAUUGACCGAACCCUUCUCCGAGCAAGAGUGCCACCAAUCCCUAGAUUUCAUCAUCUCGAAUAUGACCGACCUCCUUCCUUAUACACCUCUACAUCACUUGGCCCUAAUAACCAUAAACCCUUAACUGUAUCUGUUUUCAAGAUCACACAAAAUCAACUUAAUACCCUAAAAGCCAAGUCAUGGGAACAUGGAAACAAAACCAAUUGCAGCACCUUCACCAUUCUAGCUGCAUACAUAUGGCGCUGUGCAACUAAAGCUUGGGGCCUCUCAUAUGAUCAACCAACCAAGUUACACAUGCCAACUAAUGGACGCCCCAGACUACAUCCUCCCCUCCCAUCAACGUACUUGGGCAACGCAAUGUUUGCAGCUUCAUUAAUUGCUCUAUCUGGAAAUCUCCAAUCAAAACCAUUUGUAAAUACCCUAGAACGAGUUCAUGGAACAUUGCAAAGGAUGAAUAAUGAGUAUCUAAGAUCAGCUCUUGACUACCUAGAAACACUGCCAGAUAUAACAGUUGCCAGGAGAACACCGGACACUUACCAUUGCCCAAACCUAAGUAUCAACAAAUGGACACGACUGUCUUUAUAUGAUGCAGAUUUUGGAUGGGGUCGACCAAUAUACAUGGGUCCAGCAAACGUUGUCCAUGAAGGAAAAAUAUAUAUACUACCAAGUCCAACCGAUGAUGGGAGCUUGUCAUUGGUAGCAUGCCUACAGACUGCUCAUAUGAAACUCUUCGAGAAACAUCUAUACGAAGGCUUGAAGUCAUUUGACAAGAUCAAAGCUCAAUAUUAGUUGUUUGUUCUCUCUAUCAAUAUAUGUAUAAACCUAUAAAUCUUCUACUUAUGUUUCUUUAACUAAGACUUUUUGUUUGGAUCCUGUUUAUUUGAAAUUUACCAUCUAAGCUGGCCUGGCAAACAGGUCUUUUAUUGGUAAUUAUUGUACUAUACCUCGAUAAUAGUAAUAGCAUUGAUCGCAAAGAAAUAAUAAAGUAAAAUAAGAAUACACAGAUUUUACGUGGAAAAGUCUUAUUAGAAAAAAAAUCACGGGCAAAGUAAAAAUUUACUAAUGUUGAAAAGCAACAAUACAAGAAGUUUUUUUUACUACACACGUUUUAACGGUUAAAUAACAUUUUUAUAAUCAAUGUCUAAUAGAAGAUCGCUCCCACAUAUCCCCCAAAUUUGCAAUUCUAUUUUAUUUCUUUAACAAACAAGUUGCACCUCGAAUUUUUCUUGACUGGAUCAAACGGGGUUCAAAUCAAACAGCUCUGACAACACCUCAAAUUAUUUGUCCAUAACCAAUUAAAACAAAUACCGAAUAAUUGAAAUAUAUUCAAAAUUUUAAAUUAAAUUAAGUUUGGAUCAAACUCACUGAUGAUAUAUGAUUUACCUAAAGUGAAAUAAGAACUCGAAAAUACAAAAUUUAUGGGUAAAUUUUCUUUUUGGUCACUUAAUUAAAAAAUUAUAAUUUGGUUAUUAAACUAUUCAAAAGUUUUAUUUUAAGUCAUUGGAUUGUUAAAAUUUAUAUUAUACAACUUUCUCUAUUCGCAGUGCAUGCAUCAAUUGAAAGCUCUCUUUUUCCUUCAUUUUUACAGUUCAUUUUCUAUUUUUAUGUAACAACUUUGGACGUCAUAAAUCUGUAGACCAAAAUUUAAACAUUUUUUGCUCUGAUUUCCAACAUCGACCAUCAAAUCAAUUUAGAUCUAAAGUAUAUUUUUCUACUCAUUAAUGGAAUAAUGGGUAUCGAUCCAUCGUAUCGAUUGUUGAACCCUUACUUGGAGCUCGUUAGUGGAACUUAAAAAACAACUUAAUAGCCUAGUGACUUAAAUGAAAAUUUUCAAAUUUAGUGACCAAACCAAAAACUUUCCCAUAAUUUAAUGACUAAUGGUGUAGUUUACGCACUUCCUCUUGGCCCAAUUGAAGUUUUUGGUACUCCCAAACACUAGUAAAAAAGUUUUAAUAGUAGAAUGUAUGAAAUUUUUAAUAGAAAGUAACAUUUUACUUUUUGAUCUAUAUACAGAGACUAAUGUGCCAAUUUUUUAAAAUAAAUAUGACAAAAUGCAAUUUGACUUUUAAUAUAAAAAUCUCCAUGGUGCGUUUACCUUGAAAUUAUCAAUAAAAACUAAUAAAUAUAAAAUGAAACAGUUAAGAAUAUAUCAAAUAUUCACGAGGUGAUAGGCGCUUUUAAAAUUUAACAUUUACAACUUAAUGGGCUAGUGACAAGGCCAAGCAAACCAUUAGUGGAUUGGUAACAAAUUUGGUAAUAUUUUAACGAUCCAAUUGUUAAAUAUAUCGAUAUAACUGUAUUUGGUAUGAAUGUAAAAUUUCGAACCGAUCCGAUAUUUCUGACAUAUUGAUCUAAAAUAUUGCAUAUAUUAAACUAUUAAAUUUUUUUAUAUAAAAUAAAUAGUUAGUUUUUUUUUUAAUUUACAUCAAAUUUGACAUGCACAAUCUAUUUGAAUAGAAUAUGAAAUAUGAUAAUUGAAUCAUUAAAAUAUUAAUUGUAUAAAAAAUAAAAUACAUAUUUUAAAUUUAAUAUAAAAAUGUUUAAAAAACACUAAAAUAAAUUAAUAAAAUUCUCAAUGACUUUUGGGUUUAAAUCAAAAUUAUCGAAACUGGAUUAGAUCAAAUCGAAAAUUAAUUAAGGUAUGAGUUUGGAAUAAGAGGAUUAAUUAUCUCACAAAUUGGUUAAAUCGACAAAUCAGAUCAAUUUUUUUUCAAUUUUUAAUUUUUUAAUAAUUUAUUUAAUUAAAUUAAUAAAAUCAAUCAAAUCAGAAUUAGAAUCUAAUUCUAAACACUUUGUUUUGUUAUGUCAAAGCCACAUGUUUUUUUACACCUUAUUUAUUCUGCAAAUUACUGUCCGCACGUGUCAACUCUUUAUCAUCUUUUAAUGACGUGUACGGUAUAGAUAGCCUGUCUUCAAUUUUUUUAUUUGCCAAAUUCUGUUAUUAGUCCCUGUAUUAUAAGUAGUUUGCGAAUUUAAUCUCUAUAUUAAAAAAAUAGUCAAUUUUAGUUCUUAUACUUUUUAGCAUCUAAAAUUUUAAUCAUCCACAAGGAGUAGUAAUUAAAUAUGUUUGUUAAUUUAGGUCCUUAAUCUUUUACACAGUAUAAAGUUAUUCUACGUUCUCUAAUUUGAUCAUUCAUAAUCCUUAUAUUUUUUGAAUUUUUAAAUUUUAAUAAGCUGACAUAAUAUUACAUAUAUGAUAAUAUUUUUGACACAUAAGAUUUUGAACAUAAUAAAACAUAAUGAAUUUAAUGGUUAUCGUUUAGAUCAGGAUUGAAAUUUUAAAAUUAGAAAAAUAUAUGGACUAAAAUGAUUAAAUUAAAGUACAUACACUAAAUUUACAACUUUCCCAUUGCACAAGUACUAAUAGCAGGAUUUACCCUAUUUUUACAUUUAAAUAUGUAAAAAUAUCACCCAUCCACUGCCUCCCAACAGAGAAGAUAGGCUUUUUUUUUUUUGCAAUAAAAGAAUUAAUAAUUACUUGAUAAAUUAUUUUAUGGACAUUUUUUGUCAUAUCAUCCAUGAUCCCGUCCAAUUAGAAGAGAACGCGUCAUCUUUUUUUCCACAUCAUAUAUACAUUUAGACUAAACUUCCAAAUAAAAGAUGACGUGUCGUGUUUUAAUUGGGAGGAACUAUGGAUGAUGGGGUGAAAAAUGUCCAUAAAAUAAUUUCUCAUUAUUACCUUAUCUUCGAACACAAAAACACAAGCAUUAGCAAACAGAUUUCGCCCAUCUGCUACCUCCCAAUCGAGAAGAUAGGUUUUUUUUCUGAGUAACUCAAUUUUUUUGAUUAAUUAUGAACAUAAUUAACUUAAAAAUUAUGUCCGUAAAUGAUUUGAUUUUUACAGUGCUUGUCGAUGUUGCCAGACACACCGACGGCACCAGGCCCAUCAUCGACCAAUAAUUAUAUUAUUUUAAACAUUUUCAAUUCAUUCCUUAGCAUAUUUAAAUUUAUAUAAAUUGAGAUAAUUUUUUGAAGGAUAUAUUUGGGUAAUUUAAAUAAGACUUUUAACUUUAUUGUUUCUAAAAAAAUAAAAAAUUAUUUUUAUUAUUCUUAUAUUUUUAAGGACUAUUUAAAUAUAAUUUUAAAAAUAGAUAUACUUAACACGCAAAUAAAUAAAAAAUUAAAAAGCAUCAAAUUUGGUGCCGACAUGGUGCACCCUUUUUCUGCAAACUAAAAAGUUAUUAUUUUCUAGGUAAGGAAUAGUCUGUUUUAUUUACCUCAUAUUAUAUUUUAGUUAUUUAUAUUUAAAAUGUUAUUUUUAAGUGGUCACUCCACUGUUAAAUUUCGUUACCUCUCUAACGGUAAUUUUAUGUGACAGUUAGACCUGUCCAUGGGCCGGGCGGCUCAGCCUGGCCCGAAGGCCUGCCCGAAAUAUGGGAGGGUUCGGGUAAAAAUAUAGGCCCGAAAUAUGGGCUUGGGCAAAAAAAUGAGGCCCGUUUAAAAAAUGGGCCGGGCUUGGGCUCAACUUUUUUGGCCCGGGCCCGGCCCGGCCCGAAUAUAAUAAAUAUAUUUUUUAUUUUUAUUUUUUAAUUUUAAAAUACGUUAAAAAUAUUUUUUUUAUUUUUAUUUUUUUAUUUUUAAAAUAUUUUUUUGUGUUUAUUAAAAAUCGGGCCGGGCCCGGGCUUAUUAUUUUUUUCUCGGGCCGGGCCUGAGAAAAAUUUUAGGCCCAUAUUUCGGGCAGGGCCUAAGAGUCGGGCCGAAUUUUUUCCCGGGCCCAGCCCGGCCCAUGGACAGGUCUAGUGACAGUACAAAUGGGUUUUAAAUGCCAACUACGAUGCCCAAUUAUUAUGACAAAAAUAGGUUUUUAAUUAAAUAAAUUUAAUUUAGACUGCCACGUAGGACCGUCAUUAGGGAGGUAAGAGAGCUUAAUGAUAGAGUGAUCAAUUCGUAACAGAACGAUAACAUUAGUGACUAAAACGUAACAUUUCAAACUUAAGCGACUGUUUUAUAGUUUACCCUUAAUGUAAUUAUUGGCGGAUGAUCUGGCCGCACCGACAAACAGCAGAAAUUGAGUCAUUUUCGUAAUUAUUUACAAAAUUUGGGUUACUUUUCUAAAAAAACCAGAGAAGAGAACCUCGCCUCUGCUUAAGAUAGCCGGACACUUUCUAACUUUCCCUUCUUUCAGUUUUUCAUCAACAGGUUUGCCUCUUACCAGAACAUCAAUGGAUGUUAGUGUAAAGAGAUGGAGCAUGAUACGCCCUGCUCAAGAUACUCCUAAAGAAAGGCAAUGGAUUUCAAAUCUGGACAUGGUGAUAACAACAUACCAUGUCCCUUUGCUGUUUUUCUACAAACCAAAUGGCUCCUCUGAUUUCUUUAAGCCUCAAGUGCUACAGGAGGCUUUAAGCAAGACUCUUGUGCAAUUCUAUCCUAUGGCUGGGAGGUUGGGACGUGAUGAAAAUGGUAGGCUCGAGAUAGUAUGCAACGCAGAGGGUGUUCUGUGGAUAGAAGCUGAAACUACAUCGGCCAUGGAUGAUCUCGACGGUUUUACUCCCUGCUCAAAACUGAGGAAACUGGUUCCCACGGCUGAUUACUCUGGAGAUAUCAGUUCUUAUCCGCUUAUUAUGGCUCAGGUAAGUGAAUGAAGAACUAUUAGCUUAUUAUAGAUGAUAACUGUUACUUGCAGUAGGAGACCAAGGAUAAGCUCUGAGAAAACUCAAACAGUCUGAUACUGAAGUUAUAGCACAAGAAAAACUAAGCUAUCAGCUAAGAAGUUGAUAUAUGGCUUUUUUUUUUCUAAACUGACUUAAAAGAAUCGAUUAAUUAUGAAAAUUACCCAGGUAUAAUAUCUUAUAUGAGAAUGACCCGUUUUCUACCGUAAAAAUUGGUACCGCUAGACUAUUUAGCGGUACCGAUAUUUUUGUAAAAGUAUUACCAUCAACAAAUUAUCGAUAUAUACUUUCCAUUCAUCUUCACAAGAAAGUGCUAAUUACGGAGGUCCAUGGUGGUGGCUUAGUAGUGAUGAAGAUGAAACCAAAACCCUUUUCUCUUCAAUGAACCUCUGGUUUGACUCAUUUGUAAUAAUUAUUUUCGCUCGUUGGAUACAACCGCAUUUUAAAUGGAAAACUGUAAUAAUCCUCACAGAAGAAAAGCAAAGAACAAGAUUAAUCAAAGCGAACAAUAUUGUUACAAAUGAGUUAGGCGAGAGGUUCAUUGAAGAGAAAAGGGUUUCGAUUUCAUCUUCUUCACUGCUAAGCCACUGCCAUGGAACUCUUAGACCUUUCUCAUGAAGCUAAACGAUACCAUCAACAAAGUGUAUCCUUUUUACAAAACUAACAUCGGUGCCAACAAUGAGUCCGGCAACAUUCAAAAAAUAUAUAUUUUUAAAAAACAUGGGGUGGUGCUUCAAUGGAAAUGGUGGCACCAAAUUUUAUGAUAGAAAAUGGGUUAUUCUCGUACAAAAUUUUACACUUGAGUCAUUUUUAUAAUUAAUAAAAUUUUUUGGUCAAUUUUGAAAAAAAAAACCUUAAUGUUUUUGUUUCGAAAAGGUCAAUUGUUGAGUGUAUAUUUUGCUAGGUAACUACUCUUAAAUGCGGUGGAGUUUGUCUUGGAAUAGCAACUCAUCAUACUUUGACUGAUGGCACAAUGACCUUACAUUUCAUUAAUAGUUGGUCUGAAAUGGCAAGAGGCUUGCCCCAAAUUAGCAUGCCACCAGUUAUUGACCGAACCCUUCUUCGAGCAAGAGUGCCACCAAUCCCUAGAUUUCAUCAUCUCGAAUAUGACCGACCUCCUUCCUUAUACACCUCUACGUCACUUGGCCCUAAUAACCAUAAACCCUCAACUGUAUAUGUUUUCAAGAUCACACAAAAUCAACUUAAUACCCUAAAAGCCAAGUCAUGGGAACAUGGAAACAAAACCAAUUACAGCACCUACACCAUUCUAGUUGCAUACAUAUGGCGCUGUGCAACUAAAGCUUGGGACCUCUCAUAUGAUCAGCCAACCAAGUUACACAUGCCAACUGAUGGACGCCCCAGACUACAUCCUCCCCUCCCAUCAACGUACUUGGGUAACGCAAUGUUUGCGGCUUCAUUAAUUGCUCUAUCUGGAAAUCUGCAAUCAGAACCGUUUGUAAAUACCCUAGAACGAGUUCAUGGAACAUUGCAAAGGAUGAAUAAUGAGUAUCUAAGAUCAGCUCUUGACUACCUAGAAACACUGCCAGAUAUAACAGUUGCCAGGAGAACACCGGACACUUACCAUUGCCCAAACCUAAGUAUCAACAAAUGGACACGACUGUCUUUAUAUGAUGCAGAUUUUGGAUGGGGUCGACCAAUAUACAUGGGUCCAGCAAACGUUGUCCAUGAAGGAAAAAUAUACAUACUACCAAGUCCAACCAAUGAUGGGAGCUUGUCACUGGUAGCAUGCCUACAGACUGCUCAUAUGAAACUCUUUGAGAAACAUCUAUACGAAGGCUUGAAGUCAUUUGACAAGAUCAAAGCUCGAUAUUAGUUGUUUGUUCUCUCUAACAAUAUAUGUAUAAACCUAUAAAUCUUCUACUUCUGUUUCUUUAACUAAGACUUUUUGUUUGGAUCCUGUUUAUUUGAAAUUUACCAUCUAAGCUGGCUUGGCGAACAGGUCUUUUAUUGGUAAUUAUUGUACUAUACCUCGAUAAUAGUAGUAUCAUUGAUCGCAAAGAAAUAAUAAAGAAAAAUAAGAAUAUACAGAUUUUACGUGGAAAAGUCUUACUAGGAAAAAAAAUCACGAGCAGAGUAAAAAUUCACUAAUGUUGAAAAAUACUAAUACAAGAAGUUUUUUUGACUACACACAUUUUAACGGUUAAAUAACAUUUUUAUAAUCAACGUUUAAUAGAAGAUCGCCCCCACAUAUCCCCCAAAUUUGCAAUUCUAUUUUAUUUCUUUAACAAACAAGUUGCACCUCGAAUUUUUCUGAUUGGAUCAAACGGGGUUCAGAUCAAACAGCUCUAACAACAACUCAAAUUAUUUGUCCAUAACCAUAUUAAAACAAAUACCGAAUAAUUGAAAUAUAUUCAAAAUUUUAAAUUAAAUUAAGUUUGGAUCAAACUCACUGAUGAUAUAUGAUUUACCUAAAGUGAAAUAAGAACUCGAAAAUACAAAUUUUAUGGGUAAAUUUUCAUUUUGGUCACUUAAUUAAAAAAUUAUAAUUUGGUUAUUAAACUAUUCAAAAGUUUUAUUUUAAGUCAUUGGAUUGUUAAAAUUGAUAUUAUAUGACUUUCUCUGUUCACAGUGCAUGCAUCAAUUGAAAGCUCUCUUUUUCCUUCAUUUCUACAGCUCAUUUUCUAUUUUUAUGUAACAACUUUGGACGUCACAAAUUUGCAGACCAAAAUUCAAACAUUUUUUGCUCUGAUUUCCAACAUGGACCAUCAAAUCAAUUUAGAUCUAAAUUAUAUUUUUAUACUCAUUAAUGGGUACUGAUCCACCAUAUCGAUUGUUGAAUCCUUACUUGGAGCUCGUUAAUGGAACUUAAAAAACAACUUAAUAUAUAGCCUAGUGACUUAAAUGAAAAUUUUUGAAUUUAGUGGCCAAACCAAAAACUUUCCUAUAAUUUAAUGAUUAAUGGUGUAGUUUACGCACUUCCUCUUGGCCCAAUUAAAGUUUUUGGUACUCCCACACACUAGUAAAAAAGUUUUAAUAGUAGAAAUGUAUGAAAUUUUUAAUAGAAAGUACCAUUUUACUUUUUGAUCUAUAUACAGAGACUAAUUUGCCAAUUUUUUAAAUAAAUGGGGUAAAAUGUAAUUUGACUUUUAAUAUAAAAAUCUCCAUGGUAUGUUUACCUUGAAAUUAUCAAUAAAAACUAAUAAAUAUAAAAUGAAACAGUUAAUAAUAUAUCAAAUAUCCACGAGGUGAUAGGUGAUUUUAAAAUUUAACAUUUACAACUUAAUGGGCUAGUGACAAGGCCAAGCAAACCAUUAGUGGAUUGGUAACAAAUUUGGUAAUAUUUCAACGAUCCAAUUGUUUAAUAUAUCGAUAUAACUGUAUUUGGUAUGCAUGUAAAUUUUUGAACCGAUCCGAUAUUUCUGACAUAUUGAUCCAAAAUAUUGUAUAUAUUGAACUAUUAAAAGUUUUUUAUAUAAAAUAAAUAGUUAGUUUUUUUUUUAAUUUACAUCAAAUUUGACAUGCAUAAUCUAUUUGAAUAGAAUAUGAAAUAUGACAAUUGAAUCAUUAAAAUAUGGGUAAACUACACCCAUGGUCACUUUUGUUUACCUUAGGUUACAUUUCAGUCACUUAUGUUUGAAAUGUUACAUUUUAGUCACUUACGUUAUCGUGUUGUAACAUUUUAGUCACUGAGCCGUUAAUUGCCGUUAAUGGUGUAAUGGUAAGCUGACGUGGCACGUUAAAUCAUCAUUUCAAACAAAAACUUUAGGUUAAAUUAUAAAAAAAAUUAAAUUACUAAAAACGAAAAAAAUAUGGGGAUCAAUUAUAUAAUUUAACCUAAAAUUUUGUUUGAAAUGAUGAUUUAACGUGCCACGUCAGCUUACCGUUACACCAUUAACGACGAUUAAUGGCUCAGUGACUAAAAUGUUACAACUUGAUAACGUAAAUGACUAAAACGUAACAUUUCAAACAUAAGUGACUUAAACGUAACCUAAAGUAAACAAAAGUGACCAUGAGUGUAGUUUACCCUUAAAAUAUUAAUCGUAUAAAAAAAUAAAAUACAUAUUUUAAAUUUAAUAUAAAAAUGUUUAAAAAACACUAAAAUAAAUUAAUAAAAUUCUCAAUGACUUUUGGGUUUAAAUCACAAUUAUCGAAACAGGACAAAUCGAAAAUUAAUUAAUGUAUAAAUUUGGAAUAAGAGGAUUAAUUAUCUCACAAAUUGGUUAAAUCAACCAAUCAGAUAAUUUUUUUCAUUUUUAAAUUUUUUAAUAAUUUAUUUAAUUAAAUUAAUCAAAUCAAUCAAAUCGGAAUUAGAAUCUAAUUCUAAACACUUUGCUUUGUUAUGUCAAAGCUAUAUGUUUUUUUUACACCUUAUUUAUUCUGCAAAUUAUUGUCCGCACAUGUCAACUCUUUAUCAGCUUUUAAUGACGUGUACGGUAUAGAUAGCCUAUCUUCAAUUUUUUUUAUUUGCCAAAUUCUUUUAUUAUUCCUUGUAUUAUAAUUAGUUUGUGAAUUUAAUCUCUAUAUUAAAAUAAAAUGUCAAUUUUAGUCCUUAUACUUUUUAGCAUUUAAAAUUUUAAUCCUCCACAAAGAGUAGUAAUUAAAUAUGUUUGUUAAUUUAUGUCGUUAAUCUUGUACACAGUAUAAAGUUAUUCCACGUUCUCUAAUUUGAUCAUUCAUAAUCCUUAUAUUUUUUGAAUUUUUAAAUUUUAACAAGCUGAUAUAAUAUUACAUAUAUGAUAAUAUUUUUGACGUAUAAGAUUUUGAAAAUAAUAAAACUACUUAAUGAAUUUAAUGAUUAUCGUUUAUAUCAAUAUUGAAAUUUUAAAAUUAGAAAAAUAUACGGACUAAAAUGAUUAAAUUAAAGUACAUAGACUAAAUUUACAACUUGCCCAUUGCAUAAGUACUAAUAGCAGGAUUUAACCUAUUUUUACAUUUAAAUAUGUAAAAAUAUCACCCAUCCACUGCCUUCCAACAGAGAAGAUAAGUUUUUUUUUUUUAGCAAUAAAAGAAAUAAUAAUUACCUGAUAAAUUAUUUUAUGGAAAUUUUUCACCAUAUCUUCCAUGAUCCCGUCCAAGUAGACGAUGACACAUCAUCGUUUUUUUCCACAUCAUAUGUACAUUUAAACUAAACUUCUAAAUCAAAGAUGACAUGUCUUGUUUUAAUUGGUAGAAACUGUGGAUGGUCGGGUGGAAAAUGCCCAUAAAAUAAUUUCUCAUUAUUACCUUGUCUUCGAACACAAACACACAAGCAUUAGCAAACAGAUUUCGCCCAUCCGCUACCUCCCAAUAGACAAGAUAGGUUAUUUUUAAUUAACUCAAUUUUUUUGAUUAAUUACGAAAAUAAUCAACUUAAAAAUUACGUACGUAAAUGAUUUGAUUUUUACAGUGCUUGUCGAUGCUGCCAGACACAUCGGCGGCACCGGUCUCAUCAUCGACCAAUAAUUGUAUUAUUUUAAACAUUUUCAGUUCAUUCCCUAGCAUAUUUAAAUUUAUAUAAAUUGAGAUAAUUUUUUGAAGGAUAUAUUUGGGUAAUUUAAAUAAGACUUUUAACUUUAUUGUUUCUAAAAAAAUAAAAAGAAUUUAUUUUUGUUAUUCUUAUAUUUUUAAGGGCUAUUUAAAUAUAAUUUUAAAAAUAGAUAUACUUAACACGCAAAUAAAUAAAAAAAUUGAAAAGCAUCAAAUUUGGUGCCGACAUGGUGCACUAAAAAGUUAUUAUUUUCUGGGUAAAUUAUAGCAAUAGUCACUUUUAUUUACCUCAUAUUAUAUUUUAGUUAUUUAUGUUUAAAAUAUUACAUUUUAGUCACUUACAUUAUCAUUUUGUUAUUAAGUGAUCACUCCACCGUUAAACUUCGUUACUUCUCUAACGGUAGUCCUAUGUGACAGUACAAAUUGAUUUUAAAUGCCAACUGGCAACUAUGAUGUCCAAUUGUUGGGACAAAAAUAGGUUUUUAAUUAAAUAAAUUUAAUUUGGACUGCCACGUAGGACCGUCAUUAGGAAGGUAAGAGAGCUUAAUGAUAAAGUGACCAAUUCGUAAUAAAACGAUAAUAUAAGUGACUAAAACGUAAUAUUUUAAACUUAGGUGAAUAAAAUAUAAUCUGAAGCAAAUAAAAGUGACUGGUUUAUAGUUUAUCCAUAAUGUAAUUAUUGGCGGAUGAUCUGGCCGCACCGACAAACAGUACAAAUUGAGUCAUUUUCGUAAUUAUUCACAAAAUUUGGGUUACUUUAAUAAAAACCCGAGAAGAGAACCUCGCCUUUGCUUAAGAUAGACGGGCACUUUCUGACCUUCCCUUCUGUUGGUUUUUCAUCAGCAAGUUUGCCUCUGAUGGGUUGUCGAAUCCACCAAUGUAAACCUACGCCUAACUUGCAAAUUAAGCAGUAUAGGGAGUAGGGUCGAUCCCUCAGAGACUGGGUUUACUGCAAAUUGUUCCUCUCUUGACCAGAUUUUUGUCAGGGCAGUUGUCGUGCCCAAGAAAUUCAGAGGGAUAAAAUCUGAAACCUGAAAUAAAUAAAUAAAAAGCGUAAAAAGUAAAAGUUGAAGACAGAAUAAUAAAAACAGUGAAAUAAAUAUGAAGAAAAAUUAAUUAGAAUAAGCUCAGCUUUAGGCACGAAUUUUCCUCGUCUUUGAACCGAUCCUCGAAAUUGGAUGAACUCCUCUUUUCCAAUAACUAGUUAUAGCUACCAAGGACGCCUCGGGCACCAACUCUUCCUUGUGUAAAUUAGUUAUGGAACAUCCAAUAACUAACCUUUACCAAUCGAACAACCACGAAACAUUCGUGAUUUAGAACUCCGACAGCUUUGCGUUCUAGAAGAGCCUAGCUCGAACCAAUGCCCUCAACCGCGUGGGACAUUUAAAUCCGGUUACUACUUCCCUUGACGGAACCAAAUAGCAAUCUCCACGGGCACGCCACUGUGUUCACAGAAAACCAAAUAGAAACGUUCCUUUCGGAAUUCCAACUGUACGUCUAAUCACACUAAAUCAAACGACGUCUUUUUUUGACUUAGUGCUGGUCUGACUUUAUGAGUUGACAAAAUCAUACUCUUAAUCCAGAGAAGUAAUAAGUACUAGAAUUUUAGGAGUUAAAUGGCUCGGGUUCGUAACUCACGGGUUUUGACGAUGCUAAUUUCGGCCUAAAGCUGAAAAUGGUUUUAGUUGGCUAAGGUUUGGGGCACGUUGGUAUUAGAAUAAUUAAAUAAGAUUGAAUAAAUGAAAAAAAAAAAUGAAAGUGAGUGGUGAAGGUUAUGCAAGGUUGGAAAUUAAUUGCUAACAAAAAACAGGAAAGAAAAGAUUGAAUUGCAAGAGAUAAAAGCUUAAUUUAAAAACGAAAUGAUUAAAAACUUGAUGGAAAAUUUUAUGAAAAGACUUGAUGAAAAACUUUAAAAAGAACUUGCUGCAAAACUUGAUAAAAAAACUUGGUAAUUAAAAACUUGAUAAAAGAACUAGAUGAAAAAUACUUGAAGAAUGAAAAACACUUAAUGAAAGACUCAAUUGAAAGCUUGAUUCAUGAAUUGAUGAAUUGAUAAACAAUGUAGCCUCUAUUUAUACUAGUAGCUUUACUAAAUUAGGAGCCAACUAGUAUAGAAAAUCAAGGAAAAUAUUCCAUAAUAUAAAAAAUAUCCCAAAAUAAUCUCCCACUAAGUCAACAAUUUCAGCUAAUUAUUCUUGGAAAAAUUCUACUUUGGCCCUCGUUCUUUGCUUCUUUCNNNNNNNNNNNNNNNNNNNNNNNNNNNNNNNNNNNNNNNNNNNNNNNNNNNNNNNNNNNNNNNNNNNNNNNNNNNNNNNNNNNNNNNNNNNNNNNNNNNNNNNNUUAACCAAUUUAAUUACAUAAAAUAUGUAACUUUAGCAUUUAAUCAAAUCCCCCUACUUAGCUUAUUCUAGUCCUCGAGCAUUUUGUAUGUAUCUGCAAAAGGAAAAAUUUUCUCCAAAAUAGGACUUGGCCCUCAUGGUUUGCACAAUUCAACAAUUUAAUCCUAGCACACUAACAUCUCAAAUAACCUAGCCUAAGAAGUAAGUAAAUAUAUUUCAGAAUUUAUUAGAGCUUGAUAGACUUACCUUUCAUUUUAUUAUUUUUUGUGCUUAGGACAUUUUCGAAUUUUUUGACGCGAGACAUGAUGACAACCCAAGCACCAUGUUCCGGUUACUCAAUUCGGAUGUCUCUAAGCGGGUUAUUUCGCCCUACUCAUGAUAACUUGUUAGCGGAGUGAGUGCAAAGAAAUUGGACAGCUACACGAACCUUUUUACGCGAGAUGUGAUGACAACCCAAGCACCAUAUUCCGGUUACUUAGUCCAGUGUACAACCUCAAUUUUCACUCUUAACAUUCGUAUCAGAGGAGUAUUAUUAUUCAUUUUUUCUUUUUUUUCUUUUCUUUUUUUUUUUGAAAGAUAAAAUAGGUAGUCAAGCAAACUCAUAAUUCCCAAAAAUUUCUUACCCACUAAGUCUAGGUUAUUGAAAAGUUGUAUGUGUAAAGAACUAGAUAGCUAAAUAGGUCAAACCAUAAGUGUACCAUCCCAAUUUAUCAAAAGAAAAAUUUUACCUUUCACGAAAAACAUGCAAAAAUAGCGACAACAGAUAAGUAAAUUAGAACCAAUUUAUAUUUCCAUCCCCCCUACUUAUUUUACAUUGUCCCAAUGUAAUUCAAAGAAUAAAAGUAAAGAUAAGUAGGAGAAAGAGAGAAAAAGAAACUCUCCAUGUAUUUCAACGUCGUGGAGGGUGGUCUCGUAGGUAGAGUGGGCCUUGGCUGAAAUAAAAAGAAUUUUGUGGGUUGACAUGUGGAAUUUAAUUUUGUCUUGGAAUGUUUUCCUGUAAAAAUAAAAAUGAAAAUAAAAUAAAAUAGAAAAAAUAAAUAAUAAUAAUAAUAAUAGGAAAAUUUUAAAAAAUUCAAAUUUAUUAGCUAAGCUAUAAACUCGAAAAAUAAAUUAUUAAAAACCAAGAUUACGAGAUUUGGUAAAACAGUCGUGAUAAAUGCACCAAGUAAGUUCCCAGGAAAGAGAGGUGAGCCACAAUGGACAUACUUAAGUACCAAGUCUUUCCCUAGACAGAACUAAUCCUUGACAUGCAUUUUCAUUUUCUAUUUUACCAAAAAUUUUAUUUGCAUAAAGGAAAAGAAAAUUUGGGUUGCCUCCCAACAGCACUUUGUUUAACGUCGUUUAGCUCGACGACCUGUGUUAUUCAAAUUCUUUAUCUUUUUGUAAUAGACUGCAAAGCGGUUGCAUGAUCUUCGAGAAGUCUUUUAUGAAUUGUCUGUAAAAUCCGUACACCGUGAAAUCAUUCAUGAAGACUUCAAUGAUUUUCUCAACAUAAUCGGAAAAUAUGCUCACCAUGCAUUUCUGGAAAGUGGUCGGAGCAUUACAGAGUCCAAACGACAUUCGUCUAUACGUAAACAUUCUGGAAGGGCACGUGAAAGUUGUUUUGUCUUGAUCCUCUGCCUCCCUCAAUGUUUCGAGGAUUUCUUUUUCCUCUUUCGCUUUCUUAUCCUUUGCGAGCCUCUCUGGAAAAAGAGGUGGCAUCAAGAAUGGUUUCUGAAUUUCUGAUUCCGGUCUGACUUUUGGAUCAGAGAUCUGCUUUUCCCGUUCAUUGCCUUACCCAUAACUUUUGUCUGGAACUGUUUCCAGAAUCUUUGCGCUACAAAGAGUUAUUGCACUUACAUUCUGCCUAGGAUUCAGCUCUGUUUGGGAAGGUAAUUUACCUUGAGAUUCCAAACGAUUAACUGCCAUCGAGAGUUUACUAACUUGAUUAGUUAACUCUUAUAUUGAUGCGUCUGUCCUCUUUUGAUAUUUUGCAGCAUUGAAAGCAAGUCUUUCCACAAGAGCGUCUAGAGAUGUGCUUGACUUGGGUUGUUAUUGUGGUGGUUACAAAUGUCUCGGUUGGUAUGAUGGAUUAUAUCGGGGAUUAGCUCCGUAAUUCAAGUUGGGAUGAUCCUUCCACCCGGGAUUGUAAGUGUUGAAGAAAGGAUCAUAACGUCUUUGUGGAGGUUCUGAAAAACCUCCGAUAGCAUCAACAUGUGCCUUUGAAUUUUCGUUAAGGAUUGGGCACAAAUCUGUCGAAUGUUCAGAUAUAGUACAAAUUCCACACGGUUGGGUCCGAUUCUUCUUUUCUGUAAGCAUAGAUUGAACAAUAUUAGUAAGCUUAUCCAAUUUAUCUUCUAAGGAUGAAACGUUUACCCAAUUAACCCGUCUUGUGGGUUCUGAAUCCGGCCGAUACUGUUGAGAAUUUGUCGCCAUGGUGGAUAUUAGUUCUCUUGCCCUUUGAGGAGUCAUAUUGACAAGCGCCCCUCCACUAACAGCGUCAAUCAUCUUCAUUUCCAUAGGGAGCAAACCCUCGUAGAAAUAUUGAAAAAGUGAUUGCACGGUCAAACUGUGUUGAGGACAACUUGCACACAGUUUUUUAUACCGCUCCCAAUAGUCGUAGAGCGAUUUACUCUCCAUUUGGCGAAUUCCCACUAUGUCUCUCCUUAGUUCAGCUACUUGCGAUGUUGGGAAAAAUCUGUCAAGAAAAACACGAGAUAAGUCAUCCCACGUUGUAAUAGAACCAGGGGGUAAGUAAAAUAACCAUUCUUUUGCUGUAUCAACUAAAGAAAAAAGAAAGGCCCGAAGUUUAAUUUUAUCUUCGGUUACUCCCUGUGGUUUCAAGCUUGAGCAGACCAUGUGGAAUUCUCUCAAGUGAGUGUGUGGAUUUUCAUUCUUCAAGCCUUGAAAAGUGAGCAAAAGGUGAAUUAGGACUGACUUUAACUCGAACGAGGUUUUUCCGACUGGAUAGUUGAUGCAUAACGGUGUUUGCUCGUUGGGAGCAGUGGCUAGUUGACGAAUGGUUCGGUUCACCAUCCUUUCUAGUUCACCGAGGUUGUCUUCUGCUUCUUUUAUUUUAGGAAGUGAUUUGGUCUCAGGUUCAACCACUUCAACUUUUUUUCCACGUUGAAUUGCUUCUACACGUUUAAGAACUUCUGUCUCUUUACGUCGUGCUCGUGCUGAUUUUUUGAUCUCUGGGUCGUAUUCGAGAUCUCCGGAGGAAGAUCUGGUCAUGAAAAUAAUCUAAACAAUUGUAAGUGUUGCCAGUCCCCGGCAACGGUGCCAAAACUGAUGGGUUGUCGAAUCCACCAAUAUAAACCUACGCCUAACUUACAAAUUAAACAGUAUAGGGAGUAGGGUCUAUCCCUCAGAGACUGGGUUUACUGCAAAUUAUUCCUCUCUUGACCAGAUUUUUGUCGGGGCAGUUGUCGUGCCCAAGAAAUUCGGGGGGAUAAAAUUUGAAACCUGAAAUAAAUAAAUAAAAGCGUAAAAAGUAAAAGUUGAAGAUAGAAUAAUAAAAACAGUGAAAUAAAUAUGAAGAAAAAUUAAUUAGAAUAAGCUCAGCUUUAGGCAUGAAUUUUCCUCAUCUUUAAACCGAUCCUCGAAAUUGGAUGAACUCAUCUUUUCCAAUAAGCUAGUUAUAGCUACCAAGGACGCCUCAGACACCAACUCUUCCUUGUGUAAAUUAGUUAUGGAACGUCCAAUAACUAACCCUUACAGGUCGAAUAACCACAAAACGUUCGUGAUUUAGAACUCCGGUAGCUUUGCGUUCUAGAAGAGCCUAGCUCGAACCAAUGCCCUCAACCGCGUGGGACAUUUAAAUCCGGUUACUACUUCCCUUGAUGGAACCAAAUAGCAAUCUCCACUUGGCACACCAAUGUGUUCACAGAAAAACGAUUAGAAACGUUCCUUUCAGAAUUCCAACUGUACGUCUAAUCACACAAAAUCAAACGACAUCUUUUUUUGACUUAGUACUGAUCUGAUUUUGUGAGUUGACAAAAUCAUACUCUUAAUCCGGAGAAGUAAUAAGUACUGGAAUUUUAGGAGUUAAAUGGCUCGGGUUCGUAACUCACGGGUUUUGACAAGGCUAAUUUCGGCCUAAAGCUGAAAAUGGGUUUAGUUGGCUAAGGUUUGGGGCAUGUUGGUAUUGGAAUAAUUAAAUAAGAUUGAAUAAAUGAAAAAAAAUGAAAGUGAGUGGUGAAGGUUAUGCAAGGUUGGAAAUUAAUUGCUGACAAAAAACAGGAAAGAAAAGAUUGAAUUGCAAGAGAUAAAAGCUUAAUUUAAAAACGAAAUGAUUAAAAACUUGAUGGAAAAUUUUAUAAAAAGAUUUGAUGAAAAACUUUAAAAAGAACUUACUGCAAAACUUGAUAAAAAACUUGGUAAUUAAAAACUUGAUAAAAGAACUAGAUGAAAAAUACUUGAAGAAAGAAAAACACUUAAUGAAAGACUUAAUAGAAAGCUUGAUUCAUGAAUUGAUGAAUUGAAAAACAAUGUAGCCUCUAUUUAUACUAGUAGCUUUACUAAAUUAGGAGCCAACUAGUAUAGAAAAUCAAGGAAAAUAUUCUAUAAUAUAAAAAAUAUCCCAAAAUAAUCUCCCACUAAGUCAACAAUUUCAGAUAAUUGUUCUUGGAAAAAUUCUGCUUUGGCCCUCAUUCUUUGCUUCUUUCUUCAAUCUAGCCCAAUUGUUUCAUUUUUCUUCUAUUUAGCCCCAAAUUGCAUUCCUGCACAAAAUUCAAUAAAUAUGGCAAAAUUCGUGGUGCAUUCUCAUAAAUUAACCCAUUUAAUUACAUAAAAUAUGUAACUUUAGCAUUUAAUCAGCCUCUUACCAGAACAUCAAUGGAUGUUAGUGUAAAGAGAUGGAGCAUGAUACGCCCUGCUCAAGAUACUCCUAAAGAAAGGCAAUGGAUUUCAAAUCUGGACUUGGUGAUGCCAACAGACCAUGUCCCUUUACUGUUUUUCUACAAACCUAAUGGCUCAUCUGACUACUCCAAGCCUCAAGUGCUACAGGAGGCUUUAAGCAAGACUCUUGUGCAAUUCUAUCCUAUGGCUGGGAGGUUGGGACGUGAUGAAAAUGGUAGGCUCGAGAUAUUAUGCAACGCAGAGGGUGUUCUGUGGAUAGAAGCUGAAACUACAUCGGCUAUGGAUGAUCUCGACGAUUUUACUCCCUGCUCAAAACUGACGAAACUGGUUCCCAAGGCUGAUUACUUUGGAGAUAUCAGUUCUUAUCCGCUUAUUAUGGCUCAGGUAAGUGAAUGAAGGACUAUUAUCUUAUUAUAGAUGAUAACUGUUACUUGCAGUAGGAGACCAAGGAUAAGAUCUGAGAAAACUCAAACAGCCUGAUACUGAAGUUAAAGCACAAGAAAAACUAAGCUAUCAGCUAAGAAGUUGAUAUAUGGCCUUUUUUUCAAAAAUUGAGUUAAAAAGAAUCGAUUAAUUAUGAAAAUACCCAGGUAUAAAAUCUUAUACGAGAAUGACCCAUUUUCUACGGUAAAAAUUGGUACCGCGAGACUAAUUAGCGGUACCGAUAUUUUUGUAAAAAGUAUUACCAUCAACAAAGUAUCAAUACUUUCUAUUCAUCUUCACAAGAAAGUGCUAAUUACGGAGGUUCAUAGUGGUGGCUUAGUAGUGAAGAAGAUGAAACCAAAACCCUUUUCUCUUCAAUGAACCUUUGGUUUGACUCAUUUGUAAUAAUCAUUUUCGUUCGUCGAAUUUGACUGCAUUUUAAAUGGAAAACUAUAAUAAUCCUCACUGAAGAAAAGCUAAGAACAAGAUUAGUCAAAGCGAACAAGAUUAUUACAAAUGAGUCGGGCAAAAGGUUCAUUGAAGAGAAAAGGGUUUCGGUUUUCUCUUCUUCACUGCUAAGCCACCACCAUGGAACUUUUAGCACUUUCUCGUGAAGCUAAAUGAUACCAUCAACAAAGUAUUGAUCCUUUACCGAUGCCACCAAUGAGUCCAACAACAUUCAAAAUAAAUAUUUUUUUUUAAAAAAACAUGGGGUGGUGCCUUCAAUGGGAAUGGUGGCACCAAAUUUUAAGGUAGAAAAUGGGUCAUUCACGUACAAGAUUUUACACUUGAGUCAUUUUUAUAAUUAACCAAUUUUUUUGGUCAAUUUUGAAAAUAAAAAACUUUAAUACUUUUGUUUCAAAAAGGUCAAUUGUUGUGUGUUUAUUUUGCUAGGUAACUACUCUUAAAUACGGUGGAGUCUGUCUUGGAAUAGCAACUCAUCAUACUUUGACUGAUGGCACAACGGCCUUUCAUUUCAUCAGUAGUUGGUCUGAAAUGGCAAGAGGCUUGCCCCAAAUUAGUAUGCCACCACUUAUUGACCGAACCCUUCUCCGAGCAAGAGUGCCACCAAUCCCUAUAUUUCAUCAUCUCGAAUGUAACCCACCUCCUUUCUUAAACACCUCUACGUCACUAGGCCCUAAUAACCAUAAACCCUCAACUGUAUCUGUUUUCAAGAUCAUACAAAAUCAACUUAAUACCCUAAAAGCCAAGUCAUGGGAACAUGGAAACAAAACCAAUUGCAGCACCUACACCAUUCUAGCUGCAUACAUAUGACGCUGUGCAACUAAAGCUCGGGGCCUCUCAUAUGACCAAAAAACCAAGUUAGACAUGCCAAUUAAUGGACGUCCCAGACUACAUCCUCCCCUCUCAUCAACGUACGUGGGCAAUGCAACGUUUGCGGGUUCAUUAAUUACUCUAUCUAGAAAUCUCCAAUUAGAACCGUUUGUAAAUACCCUAGAACGAGUUCAUGAAACAUUGAAAAGGAUGAAUAAUGAGUAUCUAAGAUCAGCUCUUGACUACCUAGAAACACUGCCAGAUAUAACAGUUGCCAAGAGAAAACUGGACACUUACCAGUGCCCAAACCUAAAUAUCAACAAAUGGACACGACUGUCUAUAUAUGAUAUAGAUUUUGGAUGGGGUCGACCAAUAUACAUGGGUCCAGCAAAUGUUGUCCAUGAAGGAAAAAUAUACAUACUACCAAGUCCAACCGAUGAUGGGAGCUUGUCACUGGUAGCAUGCCUGCAAACUGCUCAUAUGAAACUCUUUGGGAAACAUCUAUACGAAGGCUUGAAGUCAUUUGACAAGAUCAAAGCUCGAUAUUAGUUGUUUGUUCUCUCUAUCAAUAUAUGUAUAAACCUAUAAAUCUUUUACUUCUGUUUCUGUAACUAAGACUUUUUGUUUGGAUCCUGUUUAUUUGAAAUUUACCAUCUGGCCUGGCGGAUAGGUCUUUUGGUAAUUAUUAUACUAUACUUCAAUAAUAGUAGUAGUAUUGAUCACAAAAAAAUAAUAAAGAAAAAUUAGAAUACACAGAUUUUACGUGAAAAAGUCUUAUUAGGAAAAAAAAUCAUGAACAGAGGAGAAAUUCACUAAUGUUUGAAAACAACAAUGCAAGAGGUUUUUUUGACUACACGUUUAAACGGUUAAAUAACAUUUUUAUAAUCAACGUCUAAUAGAAGAUCGCCCCCACAUAUCCCCCAAAUUUGCAAUUCUAUUUUAUUUUUUUAACAAAUAAGUUGCACCUUGAAGUUUUCUGACUGGAUCAAACGAGAUCAAACAACUCUGGCAACACCUCAAAUUAUUUGUCCAUAACCAUAUUAAAUCAAAUACCAAAUAAUUGAAAUAUAUUCAAAAUUUUAAAUUAAAUUAAGUUUGGAUCAAACUCACUGAUGAUAUAUGAUUUACCUAAAGUGAAAUAAGAACCUGAAAAUACCAAAUUUAUGGGUAAAUUUUCGUUUUGGUCACUUAAUUAAAAAAUUAUAAUUUGGUUAUUGAACUAUUCAAAAGUUUUCUUUUAAGUCAUUGGAUUGUUAAAAUUGAUGUUAUAUGACUCUCUGUUUGCAGUGCAUGCAUCAAUUGAAAGCUCUCUUUUUCCUUCACUUCUACAGUUCAUUUUCUAUUUUUAUGUAACAACUUUGGACGUCACAAAUCUGCAAACUAAAAUUCAAACAUUUUUUGCUUUGAUUUCCAACAUUGACCAUCAAAUCAAUUUAGAUCUAAGGUAUGUUUUUCUACACAUUAAUGGGUACCGAUCCAUCGUAUCUAUUGUUGAAUCCUUACAUGGAGCUCGUUAGUGGAACUUAAAAAACAACUUAACAGCCUAGUGAUUUAAAUGAAAAUUUUCGUAUUUAGUGACCAAACCAAAAACUUUCCCAUAAUUUAAUGACUAAUGGUGUAGUUUAUGCACUUCCUCUUGCCCCAAUUGAAGUUUUUGGUACUCCCAAACACUAGUAAAAAAGUUUUAAUAGUAUAAAUGUAUGAAAUUUUUAAUAGAAAGUACCAUUUUACUUUUUGAUCUAUAUAGAGAUACUGAUUUGUCAAUUUUUUAAAUAAAUGGGACAAAAUGCAAUUUGACAUCUAAUAUAAAAAUCUCCACGACGUGAUAAGUGCUUUCGAAACUGGAUUAGAUCAAAUCGAAAAUUAAUUAAUGUAUCAGUUUGAAAUAAGGGGAUUAAUUAUCUCACAAAUUGGUUAAAUCGACCAAUCAGACCACUGUUUUUCAAUUUUCAAUUUUGUAAUAAUUUAUUUAAUUAAAUUAAUCAAAUCAAUCAAAUCGGAAUUAGAAUCUAAUUCUAAACACUUUGCUUUGUUAUGUCAAAGCCACUUGUUUUUUUUACACCUGAUUUAGUCUACCAAUUACUGUCCACGCGUGUCAACUCUUUAUCAUCUUUUAAUGACGUGUACGGUAUAGAUAGCUUGUCUUCAAUUUUUUUAUUUGCCAAAUUCAGUUAUUAGUCCCUGUAUUAUAAGUAGUUUGAAAAUUUAAUCUCUAUAUUAAAAAAAUAGUCAAUUUCAGUCCUUAUAUUUUUUAGCAUUUAAAAUUUUAAUCCUCCACAAAGAGUAGUGUAACACCCCUUACCCGUAUCCAACACCGGAAUAGGGUACGAGGCAAUACCAGAACACAUACACUUGUAAACAUAUUUAACCGAGUUAUAAAAUUUCAUCUAAAUUAAAACUUUCAAAAUUAUUAACAUGCUUUUAUAACUCUUCACAAUAUAUCCUCAAAAUAUUAUAAUCUUAAUAAAUAGAGUCUACGAGACCCGAUACAUACUCAUACAAUUCAAUGCUUCAUUUCCAUUUCAUUCAAUUCGUAAUUUCUCAUGCUCACAAUUUAGAUCAUAUCACCAGCAAUUUCCAUUUAAUUCAUGUACAAUUCAAUGUCACUAAGUUUAACACUAAUACGUAUUUACCAUUUAACUCAACGUUUAUCGGUUAUACCAUUCAUUAACACAUUUAUGAAAUUCUCAAUUUUGCAAUGAAGAUAUCACUUUAGCUUAAAUAACAACAUCAUCCUGGUAUAAAUACACUACCACUUAUCCAUUUGCUUUAAUUCUUUUGGGCCCAUUUGUCACUUACCAUCCUUAAUCAAAUUAGGGAAUGGUUACAGAAAAUUGAGUACUUCACUUCCACUUUGCCAUAGUAUAACUGUGGUCUUACUUAUGAUCAGUUAUCACUUGUCCCUGAUCAGAUAAGUGUAGCUAGGCUACCACUUAUCACUUUGUCACUUGAUCAGAUAAGUGUAGCUAAAGCUACCACUUUUCACUUUGUCACCACUUAUCACUUGUUCCUGAUCAAAUAAGUGUAGCUAGGCUACCACUUAUCACUUUGUCACUUGAUUAGAUAAGCGUAGCGAAAGCUACCACUUAUCACUUUGUCACCAUUUAUCACUUGUUCCUGAUCAGAUAAGUGUAGUUAAAGCUACCACUUAUCAUUUUGUCACUUGAUCAGAUAAGUGUAGUUAAAGCUACCACUUAUCACUUUGUCACUUGAUCAGAUAAUUGUAGCUAGGCUAUCACUUAUCACUUUGUCACUUAAUCAGAAGUACUCAAACCCGGCGUUCCGCUCAAUUUGAUCAUUUAUUCAGUUUUCGCAUUUUUAUUUUAUUCUCAUUUCAUCAAUAAAUAUAUAUUUCAUCAUACAUUAUAUAAUUCAUGAAAUUAACAUUUAAUCAUUAAAUUUCAAUCAUAUGAACUUACCAGGCUAAUUUGCAGAAAUACCAAGAUACAAGGGCAUUUUGAUAAUUUUCCAUUUUCUCAAUUUUCUACCCGAUAUUGAUCUAAAUUAAUUUUUCAUUUAAUAAAACAACUCAUUUCAUGCAAUUUGGUCAUUUUUUACAUUUUUCCAAAAUUACCCCUAAAGUUUUACUUUUAUUCAAUUUAGUCCUCGAGCCCAAAUCAUGCAAAUUAACCAUUUUAAAUGCAAAUCCAUGCUAGCAUAAUAUUCAUAAAUUUAUUUUCCUCCUCCUCCUCUCCAUUCCACAUCCUUAAUUUACAAACAUGCUUAUAAGUAACAUUAUCUAUAAUUUCACUAUUUUCUUGUAAAUUUAUUCAAAGCUGUCCAUUUGAGUCAUAGUCGCUAAAUCAUUUAUAUCUUGAGCUACAGAAAUCCAAAUUAAGAUCCGUUAAUUUUUCCUGAAACUAGACUCACAUAUCUUCUUCCCAUAAAAUUUUCAGAAUUUUUGGUUCAGCCAAAUAGUACAGUUUAUUCUUUAAAGUUUCCCCUAUUUUGCUGUCUGACAGUUCUGACCACUCUACACUAAAAAUGAAUUAUCUAAUUGUACAGAAUUUGGAUGAUGUUUUAGUUUAUUUAAUUUGAAAAUAUAUUCAUUAAGGAUUCUAAUCAUAUAAAUUAUAACUCAUAAUUAUUUUUCUUCAAUUUUUGAUGAUUUUCCAAAGUCAGAACAGGGGAACCCGAAAUCAUUCUGACAUUGUCUCACAAAAUUUAUUAUAUCGCAUGAUUUACAAUUAUAUUGCUUACACCAUUUCUUCUAUGAGAAACUAGGCUCAAUAAGCUUUAAUUUCAUAUUUUAUUUAUCUUCUAAUUAAAUUCCCACAAUUUUUGGUGAUUUUUCAAAGUUAACCUACUGCUGCUGUCCAAACUGUUUUAGUGCAAAAUAUCGAUUAUUAAGUUUAUAACACUCUUAUUUUCUUUCUCUACACUAUUUCUCUCUUCACUAACAUACCAAGAACAUAAAAUCUUAUAUAAUAAAACUCUACAUUAACAUCAAUUUCAUACCUUUUCAAUAAUAUCAAACUAAAAAAUAUAUUGAAAUCUUGAUGUUCUUACCUUGCUUAAUUGAUUUCAAUCUUUAACUUGAUAUUCUCUCUCCUCCAGCUUCUAUUUCUUGAAUCUAACUUGAUAUUCUAGCUCCCCAUAGUCUCCUUGUUAUCUUUCUCUCUUGAUGGAUAUGGAAAUUCUUUUGAUUUCUAAGUGAAAAUGGUAAAUUUUUGGUAAAAGGACUAAAUUAUAAAGAAAAGAAAGUUUCUUUCUUUCUUUCCUCUUCAUACGUUGGUUGCAUGGGGAAGAAGAUGAUAAUUCCUCAUGUUUCCUUUUAUAUAUAUACUAAAUAGAAUAAUAAUAAAUUAAUAAAAUAUCAUUUAAAAAUCAUAUUAAAAUAUUAAUAAACUAAUAUUUAUUUAAUUAAUUAAUCUAAAAUAUCACCAACAUCAUCAUUGCCUUCUAGAUUUCUCUCUCUUCUAAUUGGCCAUUUUUCCCUUCAUAAUCUUUUAAAAUUCCAUCAUUGAGUCACACUUAAUUUGGUAAAAUUACGAUUUAGUCCCUCAUAAUUCUUAUUUUAUUCAAUUUGGUCCUAAUUCAUCCAUUUUCCUUAGUUUCUAGAUCAUUCCACCCUUAAAAUAUUUACAUCUUUGGUCCUUCAACUUUUUCAUAUUUACACUUUAACCCCUCAAAUUUUGAGUAUUUACUCUUGGGCAACAAUACUUUUCUCACUUUUGCGAUUUAAUCCUUCCUUGCAUUAAUAUGUCAUAAUAUACUUCUCAAUGUUGACAUAUCUCAAAAUUUCCCUUUUUUUUUUUUUACUUUAUUUCCUUAUUUUACUUUACCAAGAAUAAUAUCUUACUGUAGAAAUUUUCAAAAUAUUACAUUUGUGGUCCCGAAACCACUAUUUCGACUAGGCCCAAAUUCGGGCUAUUACAAGUAGUAAUUAAAUAUGUUUGUUAAUUUAUGUCGUUAAUCUUUUACACAGUAUAAAGUUAUUCCACGUUCUUUAAUUUGAUCAUUCAUAAUCCUUAUAUUUUUUGAAUUUUUAAAUUUUAAUAAGCUGACAUAAUAUUACAUAUAUGAUAAUAUUUUUGACGUAUAAGAUUUUGAAAAUAAUAAAACUUAAUGAAUUUAAUGGUUAUCGUUUAGAUCAAGAUUGGAAUUUCAAAAUUAGAAAAAUAUACGGACUAAAAUGAUUAAAUUAAAGUACAUAGACUAAAUUUACAACUUUCCCAUUGCAUAAGUACUAAUAGCAGGAUUUAACCUAUUUUUACAUUUAAAUAUGUAAAAAUAUCACCCAUCCACUACCUCCCAACAGAGAAGAUAAGCUUUUUUUUAGCAAUAAAAGAAAUAAUAAUUACCUGAUAAAUUAUUUUAUGGACAUUUUUCACCAUAUCUUCCAUGAUCCCGUCCAAUUAGAAGAUGCCACAUCAUCUUUUUUUCCACAUCAUAUGUACAUUCAGACUAAACUUCCAAAUCAAAGAUGACGUGUCUUGUUUUAAUUGGUAGAAACUAUGGAUGGUCGGGUGGAAAAUGUCCAUAAAAUAAUUUCUCAUUAUUACCUUGUCUUCGAACACAAAAACACAAACAUUAGCAAACAGAUUUUGCCCAUCCGCUACCUCCCAAUAGACAAGAUAGGUUAUUUUUAAUUAACUCAAUUUUUUUGAUUAAUUACGAAAAUAAUCAACUUAAAAAUUACGUACGUAAAUGAUUGAUUUUUACAGUGCUUGUCGAUGCUGCCAGACACAUCGGCAGCACCGGUCUCAUCAUCGACCAAUAAUUGUAUUAUUUUAAACAUUUUCAGUUCAUUCCCUAGCAUAUUUAAAUUUAUAUAAAUUGAGAUAAUUUUUUGAAGGAUAUAUUUGGGUAAUUUAAAUAAGACUUUUAACUUUAUUGUUUCUAAAAAAAUAAAAAGAAUUUAUUUUUGUUAUUCUUAUAUUUUUAAGGGCUAUUUAAAUAUAAUUUUAAAAAUAGAUAUACUUAACACGCAAAUAAAUAAAAAAUUGAAAAGCAUCAAAUUUGGUGCCGACAUGGUGCACUAAAAAGUUAUUAUUUUCUGGGUAAAUUACAGCAAUAGUCACUUUUAUUUACCUCAUAUUAUAUUUUAGUUAUUUAUAUUUAAAAUAUUACAUUUUAGUCACUUACAUUAUUAUUUUGUUAUUAAGUGGUCACUCCACCGUCAAACUUCGUUACUUCUCUAACGGUAGUCCUACGUGACAGUACAAAUUGAUUUUAAAUGCCAACUGGCAACUACGAUGUCCAAUUGUUGGGACAAAAAAAGGUUUUUAAUUAAAUAAAUUUAAUUUGAACUGCCACGUAGGACCGUCAUUAGGGAGGUAAGAGAGUUUAAUGAUAAAGUGACCAAUUCGUAAUAAAACGAUAAUAUAAGUGACUAAGACAUAAUAUUUUAAACUUAGGUGAAUAAAAUAUAAUCUGAAGCAAAUAAAAAUGACUGAUUUAUAGUUUACCCAUAAUGUAGUUAUUGGCGGAUGACCCGGCCGCACCAACAAACAGCAGAAAUAGAGUCAUUUUCGUAAUUAUUCACAAAAUUUGGGUUACUUUUGUAAAAAAAACCCGAGAAGAGAACCUCGCCCUUGCUUAAGAUAGACGGACACUUUCUGACUUUCCCUUCUGUCAGUUUUUCAUCAACAGCUUUGCCUCUUACCAAAACAUCAAUGGAUGUUAGUGUAAAGAGAUGGAGCAUGAUACGCCCUGCUCAAGAUACUCCUAAAGAAAGGCAAUGGAUUUCAAAUCUGGACUUGGUGAUGCCAACAGACCAUGUCCCUUUACUGUUUUUCUACAAACCUAAUGGCUCCUCUGACUUCUUCAAGCCUCAAGUGCUACAGGAGGCUUUAAGCAAGACUCUUGUGCAAUUCUAUCCUAUGGCUGGGAGGUUGGGACGUGAUGAAAAUGGUAGGCUCGAGAUAUUAUGCAACGCAGAGGGUGUUCUGUGGAUAGAAGCUGAAACUACAUCGGCCAUGGAUGAUCUCGACGGUUUUACUCCCUGCUCAAAACUGAGGAAACUGGUUCCCACGGCUGAUUACUCUGGAGAUAUCAGUUCUUAUCCGCUUAUUAUGGCUCAGGUAAGUGAAAGAAGAACUAUUAUCUUAUUAUAGAUGAUAAGUGUUACUUGCAGUAGGAGACCAAGGAUAAGCUCUGAGAAAACUCAAACAGCCUGAUACUGAAGUUAAAGCACAAGAAAAACUAAGCUAUCAGCUAAGAAGUUGAUAUAUGGCCUUUUUUUUUUUUCUUUCAAAACUUGACUUAAAAAGAAUCGAUUAAUUAUGAAAAUACCCAGGUAUAAGAUCUUAUACGAGGAUGACCCGUUUUCUACGGUAAAAAUUGGUACCGCUAGACUAAUUAGCGGUACCGAUAUUUUUGUAAAAAGUAUUACCAUCAACAAAGUAUCGAUACUUUCCAUUCAUCUUCACAAGAAAGUGCUAAUUACGGAGGUCCAUGGUGGUGGCUUAGUAGCGAGGAAGAUGAAACCAAAACCCUUUCUUUUCAAUGAACCUUUGGUUUGACUCAUUUGUAAUAAUCAUUUUCGUUCGUCGAAUUUGACUGCAUUUUAAAUGGAAAACUGUAAUAAUCCUCACUGAAGAAAAGCUAAGAACAAGAUUAGUCAAAGCGAACAAGGUUAUUACAAAUGAGUCGGGCAAGAGGUUCAUUGAAGAGAAAAGGGUUUCGGUUUUAUCUUCUUUACUGCUAGGCCACCACCAUGGAACUUUUAGCACUUUCUCGUGAAGCUAAAUGAUACCAUCCACAAAGUAUUGAUCCUUUAUCGAUGCCACCAAUGAGUCCAACAACAUUCAAAAUAAAUAUUUUUUAAAAAAAACAUAGGGUGGUGCCUUCAAUGGGAAUGGUGGCACCAAAUUUUAAGGUAGAAAAUGGGUCAUUCUCGUACAAGAUUUUACACUUGAGUCAUUUUUAUAAUUAACCAAUUUUUUUGGUCAAUUUUGAAAAUAAAAAACUUUAAUAUUUUUGUUUCAAAAAGGUCAAUUGUUGUGUGUAUAUUUUGCUAGGUAACUACUCUUAAAUGCGGUGGAGUCUGUCUUGGAAUAGCAACUCAUCAUACUUUGACUGAUGGCACAACGGCCUUUCAUUUCAUCAGUAGUUGGUCUGAAAUGGCAAGAGGCUUGCCCCAAAUUAGCAUGCCACCACUUAUUGACCGAACCCUUCUCCGAGCAAGAGUGCCACCAAUCCCUAGAUUUCAUCAUCUCGAAUGUGACCCACCUCCUUCCUUAAACACCUCUACGUCACUUGGCCCUAAUAACCAUAAACCCUCAACUGUAUCUGUUUUCAAGAUCACACAAAAUCAACUUAAUACCCUAAAAGCCAAGUCAUGGGAACAUGGAAACAAAACCAAUUACAGCACCAACACCAUUCUAGCUGCAUACAUAUGGCGCUGUGCAACUAAAGCUCGGGGCCUCUCAUAUGACCAACCAACCAAGUUAGACAUGCCAA
This 28985-nucleotide long non-coding RNA is filed under the name Gossypium raimondii (Peruvian cotton). RNAcentral's name for it is "long non-coding RNA (GRAI_LNC008746)". The record is from RNAcentral. Lineage: Eukaryota; Viridiplantae; Streptophyta; Magnoliopsida; Malvales; Malvaceae.